AACUUAUCCAGAGUGGUGGAGGGACUGACCCUACGAAGCCCGGCAACCGUUUUGCAAUGCCAUGCAAAAAAAGGUGCUACUUUCAGCAGAAUGAGAUUCAUUCUGAAAGAUAAGUG
This 116-nucleotide non-coding RNA is filed under the name Halalkalibacter okhensis. RNAcentral's name for it is "Bacillus okhensis SAM-I sequence". It matches the Rfam family "SAM riboswitch aptamer (S box leader)". From Rfam's summary of the family: The SAM riboswitch is found upstream of a number of genes which code for proteins involved in methionine or cysteine biosynthesis in Gram-positive bacteria. The SAM riboswitch acts at the level of transcription termination control. The record is from Rfam by way of RNAcentral. Lineage: Bacteria; Bacillati; Bacillota; Bacilli; Caryophanales; Bacillaceae.